This 253-nucleotide ribosomal RNA is filed under the name uncultured Eubacteriales bacterium. Its description in RNAcentral is "uncultured Clostridiales bacterium partial 16S ribosomal RNA". It matches the Rfam family "Bacterial small subunit ribosomal RNA", at positions 524 to 776 of the family's 1533-position model. The record is from RNAcentral. Lineage: Bacteria; Bacillati; Bacillota; Clostridia; Eubacteriales.
UACGUAGGUGGCGAGCGUUAUCCGGAUUUAUUGGGCGUAAAGGGAGCGUAGACGGCGGUGCAAGCCAGAUGUGAAAGCCCGGGGCCCAACCCCGGGACUGCUCUGGAAACUAUUGAACUUGAGUGCAGGAGAGGUAAGCGGAAUUCCUAGUGUAGCGGUGAAAUGCGUAGAUAUUAGGAGGAACACCAGUGGCGAAGGCGGCUUACUGGACUGUAACUGACGUUGAGGCUCGAAAGCGUGGGGAGCAAACAGG